GAUGAACGCUGGCGGCGUGCCUAAUACAUGCAAGUCGAGCGAACAGACGAGGAGCUUGCUCCUCUGACGUUAGCGGCGGACGGGUGAGUAACACGUGGAUAACCUACCUAUAAGACUGGGAUAACUUCGGGAAACCGGAGCUAAUACCGGAUAAUAUAUUGAACCGCAUGGUUCCAUAGUGAAAGACGGUUUUGCUCUCACUUAAAGAUGGAACGGCGUGGCAUUCGCUAGUUGGUAGGGUAAAGGCUCACCAAGGCGACGAUGCAUAGCCGGCCUGAGAGGCUGAGCAGGCACACUGGGACGGAGACGCGGCCCGGAAUCCUACGGGAGGCAGCAGUGGGGAAUAUUGGACAGUGGGGGAAAGACUGAACCAGCAAUGCCGCGUAAGCGAUGAAGGCAUGAGGGUUGUAAAGCUCUUUUACCCGGGAUGAUAAUGACAGUACCGGGAGAAUAAGCUCCGGCUAACUACGUG
RNAcentral lists this ribosomal RNA (472 nucleotides) under uncultured bacterium. RNAcentral describes it as "partial 16S ribosomal RNA". It matches the Rfam family "Bacterial small subunit ribosomal RNA", at positions 28 to 507 of the family's 1533-position model. The record is from RNAcentral.